GCGCCUACGGGUGGCUGCAGUGGGGAAUAUUGGACAAUGGGCGCAAGCCUGAUCCAGCCAUGCCGCGUGAGUGAUGAAGGCCUUAGGGUUGUAAAGCUCUUUCGUCGGGGAAGAUAAUGACGGUACCCGAAGAAGAAGCCUCGGCUAACUCCGUGCCAGCAGCCGCGGUAAGACGGAGGAGGCUAGCGUUGUUCGGAAUUACUGGGCGUAAAGCGUACGCAGGCGGUUGAUCAAGUCAGGUGUGAAAGCCCGGGGCUCAACCUCGGAAUUGCGCCUGAGACUGGUCGGCUAGAGUUCGGAAGAGGAGAGUGGAAUUCCCAGUGUAGAGGUGAAAUUCGUAGAUAUUGGGAAGAACACCAGUGGCGAAGGCGACUCUCUGGUCCGAUACUGACGCUCAAGUACGAAAGCGUGGGGAGCAAACAGGAUUAGAUACCCUUGUAGUCU
RNAcentral lists this ribosomal RNA (444 nucleotides) under uncultured Phaeospirillum sp. RNAcentral describes it as "bacterial SSU rRNA". It matches the Rfam family "Bacterial small subunit ribosomal RNA", at positions 335 to 796 of the family's 1533-position model. Lineage: Bacteria; Pseudomonadati; Pseudomonadota; Alphaproteobacteria; Rhodospirillales; Rhodospirillaceae. The record is from RNAcentral.